UAAUUGAAAUCAGUGACGGUAAACAUCAGGAUAACGAAUUGGUGGGCUUCAAUUCUGUAAUGCGACGUCUCACAGCCAGAGCCGCCCGACCCUCACACCUCCCCAGAGUUCCUCCGCUGCCCUGUUUCUUCCACCACCGGAAAAAAUGUGUUUCCCCUGCAUCUAAAGCUGCUUUCAUUUCAUGGCUGUAGCGCUGCGAGGUCGCAGCCAAAGCAGAGUUCCUAACAACAAGAAGCAAACCAAACAAAAGCAAAAGUAAAAACCAAAGCAAACACAAAUUGUGCUUUCAAAAAGCACGUUUUCCUGGGGCUCGCUGCGUUUUCUUUCUAAACAAAGACUUGUUGAGUCACCAGCAAUUUCUGCGCUACAAUUAUGGAGGAAAUCGAAUCCGCGCAGUCUGUUUGCUGGGACAGUCUGCCUCCAGAGAACAUCCCUGCUGCUCUGCGGAGGAUGUUCCUGCACCCUUGCUGCCCUGUGUCCUGCAUGGCUCAUCUGCAGUGGCUGGGAUGCACAAACCCUCUGAUCCUGGGUUAAGAAAAGAGGGCCAUUUCCAUUUGGCUCCACAGCGAUGCCUCCAGCAGUGCAGGCAUGGGGUCAUGGCGCAGCACUCACAGCUGCUUCUGCAUCCUGGGUCUGGCAUCCUGCUGAUGCUAAAAAAUGAAUCUACCCCUUAAAUUUCCUUAUUAUUGAUGGGUUAUUUUAGCUGUCUGUGACGUCUGCAAUGACAGAGGAUUCAAAAGGCAUUUGAUUUUGGUAGGAAAGUGGGAUUAUAGUUAAAACAUGGAUAUUAAAAGUCCCAUAAAUUUAGUAAACUAUUCAUAACAGGAACACAGCCGGUACUCAGAUCCAUCAGUGCCAUGAAAUGGAUGGUGGCGGUGUUUUCGGAGUCAUGCUGUGUGCCACCUCGCUGUCCCACCUACACUCCAGGGACUCCAUCAAUCUUGUGGUGGCCGAUGCCUCCUGCUCGCGGUGUCAGUGAUGAAUGCCGUGACCCCUGGGGAGGAAGGAUCACAGCAGCUCAGUGCUUGCGUGCAGGGGCUCAGGGAGCUGAUGAUCCUUGGACAACCCUGGGAUGAGCACGCUCCAGUUGAGGACAACGUCCCCCCUGGCUGGACAGAGCGAUGUCACCUUGCUGCACAGGAGCCCAAGAGCACUCAGCAGCAAGCACGAAUACCUCUUCACCCCAGUCCAGCCUGGCUAUUAAUAUACCGGUAACAACUCACAGCUCUGCACAGCAUUACAUUUCAUUGGUUGCUUUAGUUAUAACAUUCGAGUACAGCGUGCCAUCAAUUUGUGCACUCCCCAUCUACAAAUCAAUGUAGCUAAUACAACGCGCGGCAUCUUGCGUUCAGUGAGCUCUCACUGUUUUGCUAGCAGUGCCAAUACAUUAAGCCUAGAAAUGCAUCCAACACAAUGAAUUUUAAUUUCAUAUAACACUGGGACUCUGCAUGACAUUAAACUCGAGCACUAGGGCACGGUGCUUUGGAAAUGGCUGUGUUAUGGAGUGGGCAGAUCUCGAGGCAGAACUAAUCAGAUGCUGCUGGAGUACCAGAAAUCCUCCUCCGUGGUUCUGUGGUCGAUGGGGACUUUUGCCUGAUGUCACAGGCGGAAUCAAUAACAAACCUGAGGGAUUCAAUCCAGGGAGCAUCUAUCCCUGCACUCUGCAAAUGUGCCCUCUGCUCGGGUCAUGCCCGAGCUCCAGGUCGCUAUUGAUAUUGUGGAGAGCCACAGCAAUCUUCAGGAAAUUUGCGAUUCGGCCCUGGCAUAUUUGACAGAUAACACUCGAAAUACAAAUGUCAAAACACAUUUAGAUUUUUCCCUUUCCUAACUAGCCCUGGAGAAAAUGCAAACCCUUCUUGACAGAAUCAGUUCAGGAGCCUCCUCUAAGCCAGGCCCUGAGUGUUGGGAGAAUCUGCCUCUUAAAGCCAUAUAGAUCCAUUGCUGUGGUACAAAAAACAGUCUUCACCCUGAGGCAGAAUUGCUUAAGAAAAUCCUGACGUGAUUAGACACCACUCUCUUCUGAGAAAAAGUAAGUACACCAUUAAAGGAUAACUGAGAUGCCGCAUCAACUUGGCAGCGUUGAAAUCGCUUGAUGUUGCCGUCCCCAAAAGCCAGCUUGGCAGGAGGGCACAGGGAAGGACCCGAAUACUUGGAUUGUUCUGGUUACCGCUGCACAGGUGUGGCACAGCCCCAGAAGGUGCUAUCCUGUAAGCACAAUGUGAUACCCCAGUGCUGUACAGGGCAUAGGUAGGCUGUGGCGUGGUGAGGUUCACAAACACAGGCUGCACCUGUGCCAUUUGGGAUGCCCAUGGCUGAGUGAACAAAACCCAAAGAUCCCUUUUUAUUUUUUUUUCCCCGUGUGGUAAAACAUUGCUUUCAGCUAACACUGAUUUGCUUUGAAAGGGAGCUUUGGUGGAAUGAAGAGUAAAUGAAAUAUUCUUGUCUUCAGAUUUCUCUGUGAUACACAAUGAUGUAGAAAUUAGUCCUUUUACCAUCCUAAGUAAUAUGGACUGCGAUGUCUACACUUGAGACUUCUGAACGAUUUUCAUGGUAAGAUUCUAGUUUUCACUUGAUGAUAACUUUGUCAAACAUUAGCGCUUUGCGCUGAAGUUUUCCAUCUCGUGGCUGCUGCGUACAGAUGGUCACAUAGAUUUGCUCAUAUGUACCAAUGCAAAUUUUCAGCUGAAAGAAAGCAGUCACGCUUGGGAAUAAUUUUAUAGAAAAGCAGAUGAUUUAUCUAUAUUAGACAAAUUGUUUUGGAUGGAAGAAGCCCCACGCUUCGGAGUGAAGCUCUAAUUUGAUAGCAGAGCUCUCCAGGCCCUGUUGGGUCUUGGUAAAUUUCAGACACAGCGCUGAAAGCCAGGAGGACCCAGCAGUGCCCAGAAGAGCUGGGAUGGGAUCUGGGGAUGUGAGGGAACCUUGAUGGAGCUGGAACAGGGAACGGAGAGAAGGGAAGACGAGAGGAAUGAAACCCAGCUAAGAUGGGGAAAACGACACCAGCAGCAAAAAAAGCAGAAAUCCUGGUGAAGGUGAGGAGGAGGUCCAUAACUGGGUGGAGGGCUCUCCUUCGGAAGACUGGUGCUGACCCUAAAUCUCUUGAUAGAGAAAGCUUGGGUCAGGGACUCCCUCUAGGGGCUGCACAAGGCCAGCUUUCUGCUGGCCACCAUCCAGAGUGGCCACAUCUCCGAUCCCCUUCCUGCCCAUUGCCCCCACUCUGGGCUCUCCCUUGCCCAUGGGGUGAGGGCUAUUCCUUGCCAGGGAGCAUUUGAAGCCCUUUGUGUCAUCCUUUGAGACAGCGGUAGCACUGGUUUGUGCAGGAAGUUGAGAGGUGUGUGAUGAAUGAACGAAGAAGGGAGAGCAAAAAAGAUGGUUGUGGACAGCUGAGUGGUUCAGGACCGGGGACAGCUUCCUGGGUCCCAGCACCUGCUUUGCAGGAGACCCGAGCCACCCCAUCAUCACAGGUCACUCGGGUCACUGGGAUCUUUGCUGGGGGUGCACAGUAAAUGUAUCCAUCUCUGGAGAAGCAGUAGGAUUUGGUGUUGUGUUAUUUUGCCUGCUUAGGGGAUGUGGGCUGGGAGCUGGAGGAGCCCCAGUUUCCCUCUGCCAAAUGUGCGGCGGGAGUUGGACCAGAUGACCUUUAAGGUCCCUUCCAACUCAAACAAUUCUGAUUCUAUGACACUGGGGAGAAGCAGAUGGAUGGGGUGAUGACAUCUGAAAGAUGUCCAGCAAGAUUUGCUGGAGUUCAUUUAUUGGGCACCUAAGGUUAACAACCCCCAUAGAAGUCCUGGGGGUUAUUUUAGGGUUGCAUUCAUUAGUGUAUGGGAAAUACUGAGAAGCUUCAGUGAUACAGCUGUGGAAAACUAUAGGGUGAUAUUGUGUGGGUUGUAGGUGCACCGAGUAAGACGUAUUGAUGGAUGAAGAAUGUAAAAGAGUUUGAAUGGGGCCCAAUAAAAUAAUUUUACUCCUGAUGUAAACCAGAGCAGAAUAAGGCCAUCUGGGUCUAUAAAUAGCAAGAGAUAGGUUCUGACUAAAUCUAUAGCAUUUUCUCUGGCAUUCAUCUUGCAUAAAUUAAGACAUUUCUGUAAAUAAGUAGAAAACUUAUUAAGCCUUACAAAGGUUAGACUGUUUCCACUGGAUUUUAUGUCUUUUGCAUAAAUCCUCCCAGGUAAUUCCAUACUUUGUACAGAGGCAAUUUUUUACAGUAUAAGUUCAAUUAACACUAUCAUGCCAUACGUGCCGUAUAUUAAUGCGGGCAGCCUCCUGCACCCCCCAGAAAUCACUGGCAUCCAAUUCUUCUUCCUGAUUCAAUCCGCAUGCUCCCACUUGGGCCUCUGGGCACCCAUGUGCAAACACACGAGGUCAAGCAGCAGUCCAUGGCUGUCUGCAGAAGGGAGAUGUUCAUGUCAAGCCAUUUUCAUGGCACUGAGGUCCCUAUGUCAUCCAUGUCAUGCUGGAUGCCUCAGCCAUUACCCAGAAUAUUUCUGCUGCUCAUGGGAUAUUUCCUCUGGUAGUGUUGAUGUUUACUCUAAUAACCCAGUGUUCAAAGAAUUAGCUUGGUUUCCAGAUAUUCUGAAUGUCAUUUGAAUUGGUGAAAAGUUAAUGGUCCACUUUAUGUUAAUAAACAGUAAUUAUAAAUACUCUUCAGUAGAGAACGAAGCUGUAAUUAAUUGCAAACACAUUGCAUUUAUAAGCAGCAUUCAUUGGUGCUAAGUCUUGAUUCACAUUUUGCUGUCCCAGGUGCCAUGCAAACUGACCUGAGCCUGACAGUGCUCCUCCUCGUGCCUCUGCACAUCACAGCUCUGCACAAGGAGAUCGAGUUUCAUUGCUCACCACAACCAGUGCCAUGAUUUAGCACUUUUUAAAAUGGGCUUACUUUGCAGGGACAGUACAAAAUGUACAUGUUUUCAGUUCCUGUGCCUCGCAGACUUGAAGCUGAUGUCUUUUACACAUUCACUUCACAUAACUAUAUCCUUGCCAUUUUUCCUUCCUUUGGACAGAGCUCUUGGCUUUCAGACAAUUCCUGCAGACCCUGUAGCAGUUGUGUCACCACGAGAUGUGUCAUUCAUCCUGAAAGCAGUCAGGUUUGAAAACCAAAGAACCGCCUGACUUGCAUCCUAGGUGGCACAGACAGCGAGUGAGCAGGCAGUGAGGGGCAUGCAGACAGAUGAUGUCUUUUAGCCUCCAGCAAGGCUUAAUGUGGUUAAAUCGAGAUGCAGCUAUGACUCUUGAUGAUGCCAGGAAUCCGAUACUCCACUUGUUUGCAACUCCUCGGGAAGAAGUGGCUGCCUUAUUUUGUGAUAAAAGGGCUUUGCAGAGUGAACACUCCCCUUUUCCUGGAUGAUUCAAUGUGAAGUUCAACAUGGAAGGAGCUGGCAUUUUUGUAUUUUUUUUUUUUUUUAUGAUAAGGUUGUGAAGCACUGGCACAGGUUGCCCAGAGAGGCGGUGGAUGCUCCAUCCCUGGAGACACCCAAGGUGAGGCUGGACAGGUCUCUGAGCAUCUGAUUGUGCUGCAGGUGCCCCUGUUCACUGCAGGGGUGCUGGACCAGGUGGCCUUUAGAGCUCCCUUCCAACUCAAAUGAUUCUAUGGUUCUAUGAAAACACCAGCGAAAGUGGAGCAGCCUGAGGUUAUCCAGCUUCAGAAGGACAUGGAAGCAAGGUAGCAGCUGUCAAGUGUGUGAAGGUCUGCCAUGAGAAGGAAGGGAAUCACCUGUGCUGUCUCUCCAUGAUGGAUAAGACAAGGAAUUAGAGGUUAAGCAGCAGUGGGGAGAUUAAGAUCAAACAUUGGGAAAUGUUUCUGGGGGGAGGACAGAUGGCUUGGGGAAGUUAUGGAGUUUCCAUCCCUGCAGAGAUUCCCAUGUGUUAGUCAUUGAUCACGCCCACAGCAGUGACAGUGGGGAGUACCCACCUCUGGAGAUGUCAGGGACAUUCUGCUGCCGUGAAUUACAAGAGGGAUGCCUUGUAGGCAAGGCAGCAGUGAAAAAUUAGGCCCAUGUUUAGAUCUCGUGCAUGGCCAUGUCUCAGAAGCCCACCUGAACCUAGGAGUUUGCCUCCGAUGAGUAUUGUUGUUGUCUUGGAGAAAUAGUGUCACCACUAUCACAUAUGCAUUGAGGUCUAGAACAUUGAGGGUGUUACCUGAAAUCAGAUCUGUAGUAUGAAGCUUUGUUGAUGAAAUACAUAGCCAGACAUCCGUGAAGUUACCUUUCCUGCCUAACACGAGCUGAACUUGAUGGAUUUAAUACUUGUUUCAGCCACAGCAUGUUCACAAGUCUCAGCAGGCCCUGGACCUACCACGUAACUUGGACACUUCUGGUUCAGAGAAGCACAUUAACUCACACCAGGCUUUUCUUCCACACCACACAGGGCACGGAGGAUGCUCACAGCCCUGCUGCCCUUGGAGCAAGGUGACCAGCCGCUCCUUCUGUCAUUGCCGCUCCUUCUUCCUCGCCUCCGUGGUCUGCAAUUGGCUCCAUUCACUCGAUGAGAGAUGGCUGGAGGUGAGCACUUUAGGAGGGCUCUCCUCCUCCUUCCACCUGUUUUUCAUUCCUUGACUCACCGGCUUUAAGCUGUAAGUGGUGACGUGACAGCUGAGUCAUGGGCGCGCCACCUGGAUGCUGUCAGCAUCAAUCUCUCUUAUAAGGAUCACAGAGGAGCAAAAUAGAAAAGACCGUUUGGGCUUUGCAUCCGUCUUCCUGCCAGCAAGGACUGAGCCCUGCAGUGCAGUCCCUGGCUCUGCCCAACCUCGCCCUCCAAACCCCAAGCACUGGAGCCUCCACUGUUCUCCCCCAGGAAACGCACCACAAUCUAAUAAACAUCACUGCCAAGGAGAUCUCUGCUUUCCCAUGGUCGCGAUUUAGUCUACAUUUGGCUUACGUGGACAAAGAACUUCCUGCUAAUAUCCACACAAGAGAUUUUUAUUUUUCUUUCCUGGCGAAGGAAUUCACUCAAGGGCAAAACUGGAGCUAAAAUGUUUUGUUUGUGUUUUGUGUAACAGUUUUAGGAGUCUCCCUGCCGCAUUGUUGUACAGAGCAGAUGAAAAAAAGAUGCAGUCCUAUGCCCUGGAGAGCUUACACUUUUCAUUUAAGUGAGAUGCAGUGACUGAGAGUGACAAGUAACAAGACGGCAGGACACGAGUCAUACAAGAAAGGUCAGAAUACUUCUAAAUAAAGCCCAUUGUCAUGCUUUUAA
Molecule: long non-coding RNA, 7185 nt
Organism: Numida meleagris (helmeted guineafowl)
Lineage: Eukaryota; Metazoa; Chordata; Aves; Galliformes; Numididae
Exons: 3
Source: RefSeq, a predicted model, not a curated record